RNAcentral lists this ribosomal RNA (732 nucleotides) under Triticum aestivum (bread wheat). RNAcentral's name for it is "partial small subunit ribosomal RNA". The record is from RNAcentral. Lineage: Eukaryota; Viridiplantae; Streptophyta; Magnoliopsida; Poales; Poaceae.
UACAAGGGAAGAUGGAGACGGUGCCGGAGGGCAGAGGAGCAGGGGCGGCGGAGAGCGGCGCGGUACCGGCGACGGCGGAGGCGGUUGGGCGGCGGGGGCGUCGUUAGCGGGGGGUUCCGCCACGCCCAGCACCACUUCCCGGCGCACGUCCCGCAGAAGAAGGCGCUGACCUGCCACCUCUGCCGGGCGCGCGAGCCCGAGCGGCCGACCCAGGCGUUGGCGGUGCUGCCGUGGCACCUCCGGGAGGACAGGCCGCUUGGGCGGUCCCAGCUGCUCUACCAGAGGGCCGCGGAAGGGCAUCCCGGAGGGCGGCGGCGGCAGUGGCGCCACGACGGAAGGGGUCGGCUAGGCGAGCUGGGAAGGCUCCCGAAGGUGGCGUUCGGCUGGCGGACUGCUGCCGACCAAGAACAGUAACUGUACUAGUAGGAGAAGUGACUACGAACUCCUGACGGUGUUUCCUAUACGGUGAUGAAUUCUUACACGGUAGUGUCUGCUAAAUCUUUUAGGUAGUAUAUGUAGAAGGGCCACUGUACCAAAUACAGUAGUGUUGGACCUGUAAAACAUUAUUCUAUUCUCUACUGACUUUCCAAGUAUUACACUUUACCAAACACUAAACCAGAAAAAUAUCUGUCAAGCACGAACUCCUUACGGAUACUAUGAGAAAAAGUGUGACAUUAAAGAAACAUUGAACCGAUGCAAGUUCUUUACGAUCAGUAUGAGAGAAUUUGUUUA